RNAcentral lists this ribosomal RNA (758 nucleotides) under uncultured bacterium. Its description in RNAcentral is "bacterial SSU rRNA". It matches the Rfam family "Bacterial small subunit ribosomal RNA", at positions 8 to 796 of the family's 1533-position model. The record is from RNAcentral.
AGAGUUUGAUCCUGGCUCAGGACGAACGCUGGCGGCGUGCUUAACACAUGCAAGUCGAACGAGGCACUUGUGCCUAGUGGCGAACGGGUGAGUAACACGUGAGCAACCUGCCCCUGGCUCUGGGAUAGCCUCCGGAAACGGGGAUUAAUACCGGACAUGACCCGGGACCGCAUGGUCUCGGGUGGAAAGUUUUUCGGCCGGGGAGGGGCUCGCGGCCUAUCAGCUUGUUGGAGGGGUGACGGCCCACCAAGGCGACGACGGGUAGCCGGCCUGAGAGGGCGACCGGCCACACUGGGACUGAGACACGGCCCAGACUCCUACGGGAGGCAGCAGUGGGGAAUAUUGCGCAAUGGGGGAAACCCUGACGCAGCGACGCCGCGUGCGGGAUGAAGGCCUUCGGGUUGUAAACCGCUUUCACCAGGAGCGAAUCCAGACGGUACCUGGGGAAGAAGCGCCGGCUAACUACGUGCCAGCAGCCGCGGUAAUACGUAGGGCGCAAGCGUUGUCCGGAAUUAUUGGGCGUAAAGAGCUCGUAGGCGGCCUGUCGCGUCCGCUGUGAAAUCCCGGGGCUUAACCCCGGGCCUGCAGUGGAUACGGGCUGGCUGGAGGCAGGCAGGGGAGAACGGAAUUCCCGGUGUAGCGGUGAAAUGCGCAGAUAUCGGGAGGAACACCGGUGGCGAAGGCGGUUCUCUGGGCCUGUUCUGACGCUGAGGAGCGAAAGCGUGGGGAGCGAACAGGAUUAGAUACCCCCGUAGUCC